This 26-nucleotide non-coding RNA is filed under the name Homo sapiens (human). The record is from RNAcentral. Lineage: Eukaryota; Metazoa; Chordata; Mammalia; Primates; Hominidae.
CGAAGAAAAUAUGUGGUGUACAGGCA